GAAAAAUGUGGCAAGGCCUUCUAUCACUUAUCACACCUUAACAUCCAUUACAGAACUCAUACAGGGGAGAAACCUUACAAAUGUAGUGACUGUGACAAAUCCUUUACCACACUGGCAAACCUUAGAAGACAUCACAGACUUCAUACUGGGGAGAAAACUUUCCAUAGUAAAUAAUGUGGUGUAUGCUUUUCCGAGAAUGCUGUCCUUAGGCACCACUGCAGGCUCCACUCCAGAAAAACAUUAUGAACAUGGGAAAUCUGAGAAGGCCUUUACAGAAUAUUUAAAUCUUAGAAAACAUCUAAAGUUUAUAGAGAAAUAUUAUACUAUUGGAAGCUUUUCAUUAAAACAUUAUACUUGUUCAACCUCAAAAAAUUUAUAAUGAAGACAAUGUGUUAAUCUAAAGAAUGUUACCAAACCUUUAGUUAUUCCCUGAAAUAAUAUUAGAGAGAAAUCAUAUAUGUUUGCCAUUGUGCUAUAUUCAUGCCUCACUGCACAGUAGAAAUUCCUCUCUAGAGACCCCAAAGAAAUAUCAUUGAAUUUGGCAAAGCCUGUUCCUACUAGACUUCUGGAAAUUCUUCCUGAAGGAAAACCCAAGAAAGUGCUUUAAUAAAGGCACCCUUGGUUUUUUGGUUUUUUGUUUUGUUUUGUUUUUUGUUUUUGUUUUUGUUUUUGUUUUUUGCUUGUGUGUUUGUUUUUUCACCUUCAAAAUACUCAUUCUGGAGUAAAAACCUGUCAAUCACAAGAUGGUGAGAACUUAACAGUGAUGAUCUGUGUGCUCAUGUACAGUUAGAAAAUCCCCCAAGAAUGUACAGGAAAAUUAUUUUUCAGUACUGAAGAAAGUUGACGUAUUUAGUAGAACUGCAGAGCAUAGUAACAGUAGAAAUUUCAUGUACAAAUAAUAAAACACAAAGGUUUGUAGGCAUUAGAGAAGCCAGUGUACUACAUUAGCAAAUGGUUAUAUAUAAUUGGUAUCAAUUGCUGCUCCUUCAGAGCUGAUGAACCCAAGUCAGGAGUCACGAAAGUUAGUAGGGACUGACAAUAACCAUCAAGGGACCUCAAUUGUCUGCAUAAUCUUAAUGCCAAUUUCAAGCACUCUAUGUGUCAGGGCUCCUUGGUACACAGAUUCUGCACAGAUCAAAGCCCAUUUAAUGAUCUUUCAGUAGUUUUCUUCAUUAUCAUUUAAAAACAAUUCUUAGCCAGGUAGCAGUUGCACAGGCCUUUAAUCCAAGCACUUGGGUCAGGGAGGAUAGAGGUGGGUGGAUCUCCAUGGAAGCUAGCCUGGUCUACAGAGUAAGUUCCAGGACAGCCAAAGCUACACAGAAAGACCCUGUCUCAAAGACAAACAACACACACACGCAUUCACAAAGGGAGAGAGUUCACAAAGGGAGAGAGAGAGAGAUAGAGAGAGAGAGAGAACAAUUCUUGCUACUUAAACAGAAUCCUGUCUUGGAAACCCUCUACUUUGAGAAGUUACUCUUUUAUUUGUAAUAAAUAUUGAUUGCAAGCAAACCUACUUCUGUUGACUACACCUGGUAGAGGCAUGAAAGUACUUUUAGGGAACAGCACCAUAUUUGGAGAAACUGUCUUGGAGUUUUCCCAUAAGCACUCAGAACUCUCCUUAUAUAGGUUCAUUCAUGGACCAUGUUACAACAUCUUUCCCAUUUUAUCUUUUGAACUCAGUAUGUCUAGAAUGGUUUUCACUCAAGAUGUAGACAAAUCUAAUUGUCAUUUGAUGCAUGACUAUUCUAUAAAUAAGCAAUUUAUCAACACAAUAAUAUUAGGCCAGUGAAAGCAUUAUUUGUUACGAUCUGCCAUCAGGUAUGGGAGCCUUUCUUCUAGCAAUUUAGCUACUCCAUAAGUCAUAUCCUUGUAAGAAAUAGUCAAUAAGCUAUCUGAAAAUGUUAAAAAGUCAAAACUUCCCUUGGAAAUAUUAUAAGUGGUAUUUGAUGUAUUCUCACAUGUAAUUUUAUGAUUAGAUUCUGUGGGGGUAAUACAAAAGUAAGUGGAAUUCCAAUCAUAUUUCAUAGACAUUUGGUUUUUUUUUCAUAUUUAUGAUCUGAUCCUGCACAAUUUAACUCUUGUACUUCUGAUUCUAUUUGUUCAUCAAUGCUUAUCUUACUCAUAAAUUAUGAGAAUCAUGUUACUCUUUUUGUACAAACUGUUGCAAUCAUAAUUAUUCCUGUGAUGGUAACAAUAAGCUAUUCAAUAAAGCAUUUUGUCCUUUUUAGAAAUCU
Molecule: long non-coding RNA, 2234 nt
Filed under: Mus musculus (house mouse)
Lineage: Eukaryota; Metazoa; Chordata; Mammalia; Rodentia; Muridae
Description: long non-coding RNA chr17:21746734-21748968
Source: RNAcentral